GAUGAACGCUAGCUACAGGCUUAACACAUGCAAGUCGAGGGGCAUCAGGAAGAAAGCUUGCUUUCUUUGCUGGCGACCGGCGCACGGGUGAGUAACACGUAUCCAACCUGCCCUUUACUCGGGGAUAGCCUUUCGAAAGAAAGAUUAAUACCCGAUGGCAUAAUGAUUCCGCAUGGUUUCAUUAUUAAAGGAUUCCGGUAAAGGAUGGGGAUGCGUUCCAUUAGGUUGUUGGUGAGGUAACGGCUCACCAAGCCUUCGAUGGAUAGGGGUUCUGAGAGGAAGGUCCCCCACAUUGGAACUGAGACACGGUCCAAACUCCUACGGGAGGCAGCAGUGAGGAAUAUUGGUCAAUGGGCGCUAGCCUGAACCAGCCAAGUAGCGUGAAGGAUGAAGGCUCUAUGGGUCGUAAACUUCUUUUAUAUAAGAAUAAAGUGCAGUAUGUAUACUGUUUUGUAUGUAUUAUAUGAAUAAGGAUCGGCUAACUCCGUGCCAGCAGCCGCGGUAAUACGGAGGAUCCGAGCGUUAUCCGGAUUUAUUGGGUUUAAAGGGAGCGUAGGUGGACUGGUAAGUCAGUUGUGAAAGUUUGCGGCUCAACCGUAAAAUUGCAGUUGAUACUGUCAGUCUUGAGUACAGUAGAGGUGGGCGGAAUUCGUGGUGUAGCGGUGAAAUGCUUAGAUAUCACGAAGAACUCCGAUUGCGAAGGCAGCUCACUGGACUGCAACUGACACUGAUGCUCGAAAGUGUGGGUAUCAAACAGGAUUAGAUACCCUGGUAGUCCACACAGUAAACGAUGAAUACUCGCUGUUUGCGAUAUACAGUAAGCGGCCAAGCGAAAGCAUUAAGUAUUCCACCUGGGGAGUACGCCGGCAACGGUGAAACUCAAAGGAAUUGACGGGGGCCCGCACAAGCGGAGGAACAUGUGGUUUAAUUCGAUGAUACGCGAGGAACCUUACCCGGGCUUAAAUUGCAGUGGAAUGAUGUGGAAACAUGUCAGUGAGCAAUCACCGCUGUGAAGGUGCUGCAUGGUUGUCGUCAGCUCGUGCCGUGAGGUGUCGGCUUAAGUGCCAUAACGAGCGCAACCCUUAUCUUUAGUUACUAACAGGUUAUGCUGAGGACUCUAGAGAGACUGCCGUCGUAAGAUGUGAGGAAGGUGGGGAUGACGUCAAAUCAGCACGGCCCUUACGUCCGGGGCUACACACGUGUUACAAUGGGGGGUACAGAAGGCAGCUAGCGGGUGACCGUAUGCUAAUCCCAAAAGCCUCUCUCAGUUCGGAUCGAAGUCUGCAACCCGACUUCGUGAAGCUGGAUUCGCUAGUAAUCGCGCAUCAGCCACGGCGCGGUGAAUACGUUCCCGGGCCUUGUACACACCGCCCGUCAAGCCAUGGGAGCCGGGGGUACCUGAAGUACGUAACCGCAAGGAUCGUCCUAGGGUAAAACUGGAGACU
Molecule: ribosomal RNA, 1445 nt
Filed under: uncultured organism
Description: SSU rRNA
Rfam family: Bacterial small subunit ribosomal RNA
Source: RNAcentral